Molecule: ribosomal RNA, 253 nt
Filed under: uncultured bacterium
Lineage: Bacteria
Description: partial 16S ribosomal RNA
Rfam family: Bacterial small subunit ribosomal RNA
Source: RNAcentral
UACGUAGGUGGCGAGCGUUGUCCGGAUUUACUGGGCGUAAAGGGAGCGUAGGCGGACUUUUAAGUGAGAUGUGAAAUACCCGGGCUCAACUUGAGUGCUGCAUUUCAAACUGGAAGUCUAGAGUGCAGGAGAGGAGAAUGGAAUUCCUAGUGUAGCGGUGAAAUGCGUAGAGAUUAGGAAGAACACCAGUGGCGAAGGCGAUUCUCUGGACUGUAACUGACGCUGAGGCUCGAAAGCGUGGGGAGCAAAUGGG